CAUUUCCAGCGUCUGUUCUGACUUUGGCAGCAAAUGCAGACAUGAGGUCACUUGAUGUGCACAAUUAGCACUUUGUAGUCUCGUCCACUUCCAAACCCCUUAAACAGACACGCACAGUGCAUUAAACUGACUGGCCUUUGUAUUCUAACAUGUCUUAUUUCAACAUGACUGAUGCACAGUACGACUGUUACAAUUCAUGUGUAUUAAAUAAAUAAAACAACAUAGCAAGUGUUUUUCAGAUAACAUGAAAACUUUUUUUUCCAAUAAACAUAUAAUUCAAAUAUUUCUAUGCAUUAAUUCUCCAACAUGCUUUGUUUAUAUAACCGACGCAGCAACAUGAGCAGUGAGAACAAUCAUAGUGGCAUCAUGGAAACUGAGGGCUUAAGUAACAUCAGAAUAACAACCAGUAAAUUACUUUAAACAUUAAAAAAGUCUAAUUAUGUCCAGUAAGUGUACUUUUUGUGUUUGACAGCUGCGUCGGCACUCAGAAGGUCCAUCUAGGAAAGUUGAUAAAAAAAGUAUUUUCUGUAUCAAAUUUUUUUGGGUUACAUAAGUCCCUGCAGCGCAUUAACACACAUGUUCCUUCAAGCGUACAACAUGCUGCACAGAGCCUCUUCUUCUUCUCGCUCUGCUCUCACCCAUUUUACUGGCUGGAUGACCAAAUCAUCCCUGACAGGCCGUGGCUUUUCAUGCAGCUUUGUGAGUGCGUGCUGACCCCGGUCAGGCUGGGACAUUCACACUUUACAAAAGAGCAGGGACACAGAGGAGCCUCUUCAGUACGUCAGGCUGCCACUGUUUGUUCAGGCUGCUGAGGGGCUUCACAUGCUGUCUGUCUGUCUGCGGGCGCUGAGCAGCUGCAGCCGUCGAUGAAGGUGAGCGUGGCUGGGUGCGGAUCAACUCCCCGAGGACCCGUUAACUUCCAACUGAAGGUUGAAGGUUGAGCUCAGCAGCAGAAAUGAUCAUCAGACUGGGACGGCUGACACCAGGAUACUUCCAUCUCCUCCAGAGGCAGGUCUCAGGUGAGGUCCGGAUGCAGCCACAGAGCAGCCUCAUCAAUCCCAUCGCCAUGACGAUGGCCACAUUGGGGAUGGGAGUGUCUCUGUACAGCGCCAGGCAGAUGGCAGAGAGGGUCCAUCUGAAACAUCAGUGAGAAGCUCUGUGGGCGGUUUGUUUGUGUAUGUGGCAGAAGGUUUGUGAUGGAGGAGGUCGAGAGGGUCCAUGUUCACGUGUUGGUGCUUGAAGGAAAAUCUAAUAAGUGUCCCAGGAGGAAAAUGUGUCGUGUUGUCAAAACAUUUACACAUUCUUUGCAAUCUCAACAUUUAUAAGUAUAAGUAUAUAACAUAUAUAUAUAUAUAUAUAUAUAUAUAUAUAUAUAAAUAUGAGUGAAGCCUGCAAGUUUGACCUGCAGCUGCUAUUAUUUCCUGCAUUUUAUAGUGCAAUUUAAAUUAAUAAAAAUAACCACAGAAAAUAUAAUACAAUAUUAUAUAUAAAUAUUUAAAUAUUUCAGUAAGGUCAUUAGUUUGUUGUACUUUAGCACCUUCAUGUUUUGAAUUUAGAUUGUAACUUCUAUAGCAGCAUCCCCCUUUGAGUAAUCAGCUAUGGGAAAAUCUCUUUUCAUCAUGGCAUCUUCGGUUUGCUAAAUUAAAAUGUUAUGUUUGUACUAGAAUAAUAAUAAAGGAAAUGUGUGUAAAUGCAAAAUGCCACUAAAAGACAUUCAAAUGAUUAACUUUGUAUAGCAACAUAUUUGGUCAUUUGAUGUAAUUCUCAAAUAAAUGACAUCUGUGUGCAGACUCAAUGUUUUCAAUGUGUUUUUUGAAACAUUAAAACAGCUCCGUGGUGCUCAUGCUUCAUCCGUGU
Long non-coding RNA from Cottoperca gobio, 1857 nucleotides. NCBI's taxonomy places the organism in Eukaryota, Metazoa, Chordata, Actinopteri, Perciformes, Bovichtidae. The record is from Ensembl.